GACGAACGCUGGCGGCGUGCUUAACACAUGCGAGUCGAACGGAAAGGCCCUGCUUUUGUGGGGUGCUCGAGUGGCGAACGGGUGAGUAACACGUGAGUAACCUGCCCUUGACUUUGGGAUAACUUCAGGAAACUGGGGCUAAUACCGGAUAGGAGCUCCUGCUGCAUGGUGGGGGUUGGAAAGUUUCGGCGGUCGGGGAUGGACUCGCGGCUUAUCAGCUUGUUGGUGGGGUAGUGGCUUACCAAGGCUUUGACGGGUAGCCGGCCUGAGAGGGUGACCGGCCACAUUGGGACUGAGAUACGGCCCAGACUCCUACGGGAGGCAGCAGUGGGGAAUAUUGCACAAUGGGCGGAAGCCUGAUGCAGCAACGCCGCGUGCGGGAUGACGGCCUUCGGGUUGUAAACCGCUUUCGCCUGUGACGAAGCGUGAGUGACGGUAAUGGGUAAAGAAGCACCGGCUAACUACGUG
This 468-nucleotide ribosomal RNA is filed under the name uncultured bacterium. RNAcentral's name for it is "partial 16S ribosomal RNA". It matches the Rfam family "Bacterial small subunit ribosomal RNA", at positions 28 to 507 of the family's 1533-position model. The record is from RNAcentral.